This 19-nucleotide microRNA is filed under the name Brachypodium distachyon (stiff brome). RNAcentral describes it as "bdi-miR169h-3p". Its record names the gene bdi-miR169h-3p. The record is from miRBase by way of RNAcentral. Lineage: Eukaryota; Viridiplantae; Streptophyta; Magnoliopsida; Poales; Poaceae.
GGCAGUCACCUUGGCUAGC